GACGAACGCUGGCGGCGUGCCUAAUACAUGCAAGUUGAGCGCUGAAGGUUGGUACUUGUACCAACUGGAUGAGCAGCGAACGGGUGAGUAACGCGUGGGGAAUCUGCCUUUGAGCGGGGGACAACAUUUGGAAACGAAUGCUAAUACCGCAUAAAAACUUUAAACACAAGUUUUAAGUUUGAAAGAUGCAAUUGCAUCACUCAAAGAUGAUCCCGCGUUGUAUUAGCUAGUUGGUGAGGUAAAGGCUCACCAAGGCGAUGAUACAUAGCCGACCUGAGAGGGUGGACGGCCACAUUGGGACUGAGACACGGCCCAAACUCCUACGGGAGGCAGCAGUAGGGAAUCUUCGGCAAUGGACGAAAGUCUGACCGAGCAACGCCGCGUGAGUGAAGAAGGGUUUCGGAUCGUAAAACUCUGUUGGUAGAGAAGAACGUUGGUGAGAGUGGAAAGCUCAUCAAGUGACGGUAACUACCCAGAAAGGGACGGCUAACUACGUG
Molecule: ribosomal RNA, 497 nt
Filed under: uncultured bacterium
Lineage: Bacteria
Description: partial 16S ribosomal RNA
Rfam family: Bacterial small subunit ribosomal RNA
Source: RNAcentral